Molecule: ribosomal RNA, 857 nt
Filed under: uncultured bacterium
Lineage: Bacteria
Description: SSU rRNA
Rfam family: Bacterial small subunit ribosomal RNA
Source: RNAcentral
UACGGAGGGUGCAAGCGUUACUCGGAAUCACUGGGCGUAAAGCGCGCGCAGGCGGCCUUUUAAGUUGGAUGUGAAAGCCUACGGCUUAACCGUAGAACUGCAUCCAAAACUACUAGGCUAGAGUGUGGGAGAGGAAGAUGGAAUUAGUUGUGUAGGGGUAAAAUCCGUAGAGAUAACUAGGAAUACCAAAAGCGAAGGCAAUCUUCUGGAACACUACUGACGCUGAGGCGCGAAAGCGUGGGGAGCAAACAGGGUUAGAUACCCUGGUAGUCCACGCCCUAAACGAUGAAUGUUAGUCGUCGGGUAGCUAGUCUAUUCGGUGAUGCAGCUAACGCAUUAAACAUUCCGCCUGGGGAGUACGGUCGCAAGAUUAAAACUCAAAGGAAUAGACGGGGACCCGCACAAGUGGUGGAGCAUGUGGUUUAAUUCGAAGAUACGCGAAGAACCUUACCUAGCCUUGACAUAUAUUAGAACACUUUAGAGAUAGAGUGGUGCCUUCGGGAGCUUUUAUACAGGUGCUGCACGGCUGUCGUCAGCUCGUGUCGUGAGAUGUUGGGUUAAGUCCCGCAACGAGCGCAACCCUCGUCACUAGUUACUAACGGUUCGGCCGAGGACUCUAGUGAGACUGCCUUCGCAAGGAGGAGGAAGGUGAGGACGACGUCAAGUCAUCAUGGCCCUUACGGCUAGGGCAACACACGUGCUACAAUGGCCAGGACAAUGAGACGCAAUACCGCGAGGUGGAGCAAAUCUAUAAACCUGGUCUCAGUUCGGAUUGUAGUCUGCAACUCGACUACAUGAAGCUGGAAUCACUAGUAAUCGUAGAUCAGCUAUGCUACGGUGAAUACGUUCCCGGGUCU